CCUACGGGUGGCAGCAGUGAGGAAUAUUGGUCAAUGGACGAGAGUCUGAACCAGCCAAGUAGCGUGAAGGAUGACUGCCCUAUGGGUUGUAAACUUCUUUUAUAUGGGAAUAAAAUGUUCCACGUGUGGGAUUUUGUAUGUACCAUAUGAAUAAGGAUCGGCUAACUCCGUGCCAGCAGCCGCGGUAAUACGGAGGAUCCGAGCGUUAUCCGGAUUUAUUGGGUUUAAAGGGAGCGUAGGUGGAUUGUUAAGUCAGUUGUGAAAGUUUGCGGCUCAACCGGAAAAUUGCAGUUGAAACUGGCAGUCUUGAGUACAGUGGAGGUGGGCGGAAAUCGUGGUGUAGCGGUGAAAUGCUUAGAGAUCACGAAGAACUCCGAUUGCGAAGGCAGUUCACUGGACUGCAACUGACACUGAGGCUCGAAAGUGUGGGUAUCAAACAGGAUUAGAUACCCUAGUAGUC
RNAcentral lists this ribosomal RNA (460 nucleotides) under uncultured bacterium. RNAcentral describes it as "partial 16S ribosomal RNA". It matches the Rfam family "Bacterial small subunit ribosomal RNA", at positions 338 to 795 of the family's 1533-position model. The record is from RNAcentral.